AUCCAGCUGACGAGUCCCGAAUAGCACGAAACGCGCGUCGAACUGAAU
Molecule: non-coding RNA, 48 nt
Organism: Schistosoma curassoni
Lineage: Eukaryota; Metazoa; Platyhelminthes; Trematoda; Strigeidida; Schistosomatidae
Source: Rfam